GAUGAACGCUGGCGGCGUGCCUAAUACAUGCAAGUCGAGCGAACGGACGAGAAGCUUGCUUCUCUGAUGUUAGCGGCGGACGGGUGAGUAACACGUGGAUAACCUACCUAUAAGACUGGGAUAACUUCGGGAAACCGGAGCUAAUACCGGAUAAUAUUUUGAACCGCAUGGUUCAAAAGUGAAAGACGGUCUUGCUGUCACUUAUAGAUGGAUCCGCGCUGCAUUAGCUAGUUGGUAAGGUAACGGCUUACCAAGGCAACGAUGCAUAGCCGACCUGAGGGGGUGAUCGGCCACCCUGGAAGUGAGACACGGUCCAGACUCCUACGGGAGGCAGCAGUAGGGAAUCUUCCGCAAUGGGCGAAAGCCUGACGGAGCAACGCCGCGUGAGUGAUGAAGUUCCUCGGAUCGUAAAACUCUGUUAUUAGGGAAGAACAUAUGUGUAAGUAACUGUGCACAUCUUGACGGUACCUAAUCAGAAAGCCACGGCUAACUACGUG
This 497-nucleotide ribosomal RNA is filed under the name uncultured bacterium. Its description in RNAcentral is "partial 16S ribosomal RNA". It matches the Rfam family "Bacterial small subunit ribosomal RNA", at positions 28 to 507 of the family's 1533-position model. The record is from RNAcentral.